RNAcentral lists this transfer RNA (70 nucleotides) under Dipodomys ordii (Ord's kangaroo rat). It matches the Rfam family "tRNA". From Rfam's summary of the family: Transfer RNA (tRNA) molecules are approximately 80 nucleotides in length. Their secondary structure includes four short double-helical elements and three loops (D, anti-codon, and T loops). Lineage: Eukaryota; Metazoa; Chordata; Mammalia; Rodentia; Heteromyidae. The record is from Rfam by way of RNAcentral.
GUGGGUGGCUCAGUGGUAGAGUGCUUGCCUUGCAUGCAUGAGGCCCUGGGUUCGAUUCCUCAGCACCACA